CCCGCGAGGAGAACUCAAUAAAAAGACGUUUCUUGCCGUUAUGUUGUCAUACAUGGUCUUACUGGAUCACAAUUAACACAGCCAGCAUAACUCAUUCAACUCAGGUAAAAUAUAAUUUCCUUUGUCUUGGCACUGAAGAUUCAGCAGCUUGGGAACGAUGCGCUGCUGAAAUGUGGGGCAGGAAACAGUCAUUCGUCUCAUUCGUUUCUUUUAGGAUUCUUAGGAGACAUCUGUGACAAAGUUGAUAUGAAACAUGACUGAGAACACCAUUAAGUCAAAUGAGCUAAGAAAGAGAUCGUGUAGCCUACACCAGGGAAGCAAGCAUUUGAAGACUGCCAUGUUUGCUCUGUUUCCCCUCUUAAGUGCAUCGAAGUCAGCGUCGUCUCUAGAGAAGGAGUCUCCUGGGGUGAUAGCAUUUGUCAUGACAGCGAGAACGAUCUCUGUUUUCCCCUCUUACGGAUACCUACACCUUUCCCAGGAGAAAAAUGGAAUUUAGAGCAGCAACAUGCCAUCACACAUUAUUAUACCUUGUCAGACGUGCUUCAUGAUAAAUGUUUCCAUCCUCACAAAAUAUUUCCCAAAUUCAAAUCUAUGAAAAAGCAACCUCAACCCCUCUUUUUCAACCAUCAUGCAUUCAUGCCGACAUGAUAUUAAGAUAGAACUGCCAGUGACAGUGCAGACCCCGUGCAGUGCAAUUAAUUGGCAAUCCAGUGCAUUAAUAGCAAUGAAAAUACCAUGCUGUUUCUAUCAUGUUCCAUCCCACAGACGUCCUUUUUUCCUGUGUGUCAGUUACUUAUCUGAACACUGAUAUAUCCCACACAGUAUGUUUUUUUUUUUUUUGGAUUUGCAUCAGAGGACGUAGUAGAGAGCUGAACUUAUUUUGAUUUACACUAUGGGGGCUGGUUUAUUUACAUACAUACAGUUCAUUUUACAACUACGUUCAGGUUAGAUGAUUUUUAAUGUUUCCAGAUGACGAGCUUCAUUAGCUCCCUGCUCUGGGCCAAGCAAAAUGCAUAUGAAACUGAGGAAAAAAUAUUGCAGUGCUUUUAAAAAGCACCUUGAGGGUUUAAUGUCUCAUAAGUGCAUGCAAAACAUGUGCUUUUCAUAACUCCCUCUGUUCUUUCACUGGUCCACAUUUUGAUCAAAUAUGUGCAUGAACUUAUAGUUAUUCAUUUAUGCACACGCAAAGAACGUGGUGACUUUAUUCUACGCUCAUCAAAACAGUUCUCAUAUUGUAGCUGGGGAAAUACAAGUGUCACAAAGACGUAUGAUCCUUUGUAAAAAUAAAACUCUGCAAAUGUGCUUGGCAUGCUGUGAAAACAAUAUGCAAUGUGCUGUUGGGUGGAUUUGUGUGGGGUGAGUGUACAUAUGUGUUCUGAAUGUAAUGGGCCAAUCAGUGCAGAAUAAGGAAUGAUAAAAGAAGUCGGAUGGAAAUCGGGUG
Molecule: long non-coding RNA, 1441 nt
Filed under: Sinocyclocheilus anshuiensis
Lineage: Eukaryota; Metazoa; Chordata; Actinopteri; Cypriniformes; Cyprinidae
Description: lncRNA (ENSSANG00000007285.1)
Source: RNAcentral